This 234-nucleotide ribosomal RNA is filed under the name uncultured bacterium. Its description in RNAcentral is "partial 16S ribosomal RNA". It matches the Rfam family "Bacterial small subunit ribosomal RNA", at positions 524 to 755 of the family's 1533-position model. The record is from RNAcentral.
UACGUAGGGUGCGAGCGUUGUCCGGAAUUAUUGGGCGUAAAGAGCUCGUAGGCGGUUUGUCGCGUCUGCUGUGAAAACCUAAGGCUCAACCUUGGGCUUGCAGUGGGUACGGGCAGACUAGAGUGCGGUAGGGGGUGACUGGAAUUCCUGGUGUAGCGGUGGAAUGCGCAGAUAUCAGGAGGAACACCGAUGGCGAAGGCAGGUCACUGGGCCGCAACUGACGCUGGAGGAGCG